AAGCGUUAUCCGGAAUUAUUAGGCGUAAAGAGCUGGUAGGCGGUUUGUCGCGUCGGCCGUGUAAGUCCGGGGCUCAACUCCGGAUUUGCGGUGGGUACUGGCAGACUAGAGUGAUGUAUGGGAGACUGGAAUUCCUGGUGUAGCGGUGAAAUGCGCAGAUAUCAGGAGGAACACCGAUGGGGAAGGCAGGUCUCUGGGCAUUAACCGACGCUGAGGAGCGAAAGCAUGCGGAGCGAACAGGAUUAGAUACCCUGGUAGUCCAUGCCGUAAUCGCUGGGCACUAGGUGUGGGGGACAUUCCACGUUUUCCGCGCCGUAGCUAACGCAUUAAGUGCCCCGCCUGGGGAGUACGGCCGCAAGGCUAAACCUCAAAGGAAUUGACGGGGGCCCGCACAAGCGGCGGAGCAUGCGGAUUAAUUCGAUGCAACGCGAAGAACCUUGCCAAGGCUUGACAUGGACUGGAAAUACCUGGAAACAGGUGCCCCGCUUGCGGUCGGUUCACAGGUGCUGCAUGGUUGUCGUCAGCUCGUGUCGUGAGAUGUUGGGUUAAGUCCCGCAACGAGCGCAACCCUCGUUCUAUGUCGCCAGCGCGUUAUGGCGGGGACUCAUAGGAGACUGCCGGGGUCAACUCGGAGGAAGGUGGGGACGACGUCAAAUCCUCAUGCCCCUUAUCUCUUGGGCUUCACGCAUGCUACAAUGGCCGGUACAAAGGGUUGGGAUACUCUGAGGUGGAGCUAAUCCCAAAAACCCGGUCUCAGUUCGGAUUGGGGUCUGCA
This 775-nucleotide ribosomal RNA is filed under the name Arthrobacter sp. UA-VH0248. RNAcentral's name for it is "bacterial SSU rRNA". It matches the Rfam family "Bacterial small subunit ribosomal RNA", at positions 536 to 1309 of the family's 1533-position model. The record is from RNAcentral. Lineage: Bacteria; Bacillati; Actinomycetota; Actinomycetes; Micrococcales; Micrococcaceae.